This is a long non-coding RNA of Bacillus rossius redtenbacheri, 4071 nucleotides long. RefSeq lists it as uncharacterized. The record is from RefSeq and is a predicted model, not a curated record. NCBI's taxonomy places the organism in Eukaryota, Metazoa, Arthropoda, Insecta, Phasmatodea, Bacillidae. The transcript is spliced from 2 exons.
GGUUCUAUUUCUGGAGAGAGAGAGAGGUAGAUUUUUAUGUUUAUUAUUAAGUUAGUUUCAGCUUCUGAUAGCAGGUUAUUAAGAGUUUACUUGAGGAGAGGAUUACGGAAUUUUAGUCUAUAGUGGAGGAAGUCUUUGAGAUUUUUUUUUUGACGUAACAGAUGUUUAUUUGAGGAUACUUGUAAGGAUAAAGUUUAUAGUGAUAAGUUGUUUUAAGUCGUUGAAUUUAUUGUAGAUUUAUAUCGGGGAUUAUUACGUGAGGAGAAUACGUUAUAAGUUAAAUACUUAAUAAAGAUAAUGCAAGUGGUUUAGUUUUAUUAAAGUUAAUUUAAGAUUGUAGGUUAAGAGAAUUAUAAUUUAAAAUAAAGUUUUUUGUCGUAAAUAGGAAUUAUUUUCAAGAGAAGUUGGUUUUGUUUUCGUGCGCGUAGGAGACGAGACGUACGAAUUAAAUCAGUCGAGGGAAGGAUAAACGUUAGAAAGGAAUUAAAGAGAAAACGAGAGUUUAUGUAAAAGAGAGUUAUAGAAUUUAUAGUGAUGUUUUGUUUUAAUUAGAAAAAUGUUGAGAGUUGUUUCAGAACGACACGUCAGUGGACGUGGCAGAGUGAACACGUGAUGGGGAGGUGCUGAGACCUAGCGGAGAACGGAGGAACCGCAAGCGAGGGUUGGCGCACCUGAUGGAAUUCGGUGACGUCACGGGCUCAUACGGAGACGUGGACAGGCCGUGACCUUGUUUUGAUCAGCUGUACGGUAACUUAGCGAUAAGAAAAUAGACUAUUGGUUAAAUAAAUUUAAAUUUAAGUGUGUUUUAGAAGAAGAGGAACUUUCAGUAUAUUCCUUAAGAUGAGCUGAGCAGCAGUCCAGUUUACAAGAUGACAAGAGUUCGAGAGACAAGAUACAAGAUCACUGAAACAAGAGCCAAGACUGAAGAUUCAAGAGAAGAGAAAGCUGGCAGCCAUGGACUUACAAGUGGAGAUUAAUAAGGUCAUGUAAAGUUUUAUUUUUUUUUAUGGAAGACAGUAACUGGAGUUUUUUUUUGUUAUAAACAUUAUUUACAGAACUUUUUAGGUUAUAGUAAUGUGAUGGAACUAGUGAGUUGUGGUAGCUGUCAAAAAGAACUAAUACCUUAAGUUUAAUUUUUAAAGUUAAUUUUCUUAAUUUACAGAGGGAUUAGUAGUUUUUUUUAAACCUUAUUUAGGUUGGAAUUUAAAUACAAUAGCUUAUUAUAAAUGUGUACGAACAGUUCAAGUUCACAGUACUGAUAGGUAGGUCAGAUGAUCUUAUUGAUUUUGAUGAUUUGUUGUUUUGAGUUGAUUUUUAAGUGUUGUGAAUUAGACAAUGAAAUAGUUCUGAAAACUUAAAUUAUUUCAAGCUAAGAAAUAGUAAAGUUAAUUGUAACUCAAAGGACACCAGAAUUUAAUUUUUUUUUAAUUAGUAAUGUUUGAAAAUUUUAUACUUUACAAGAAAGGUUAUAAACAAACAGAUCGGAUGGAACAAGGAUGCAGUAAAUCACAAUUUCAUUUAGAAUUAUUGAUUAGCUUUUGAGGUUAUGAAGUAAAAGUAAUUAUAAUUUAAAAGUUUGAAUAAAAAAAUGUUUUUUUUAUUUGUUUGAAAUAGAAAAUUUAAAAGUUAAUUAGUCAUGAUCUAGGUGGGUGAUGGGGUGGGAAUUGGCCACUCUUUUUCCCUAUAACCUCCCUAACAUGGCCUUCUAUUACAACUAACAGAAAUAAAGAAGAAGAAAAAUGAAGAAUUAUUAGUUAGAAUGUUUCUUUCAUGAAGAUACCUGAUGAACUUUUACUGUUUGGAAGAAUAGAAGCAAGGUUAGUCAGAUAUUUUUACUCAGAAGAAGAAGAAGAUAAAGCAGUUUUAUGACUCGACAAGCCAGAGAUUGGUGUUUCCCCUCUGCGCUUCUAUUGACUACGUUGUUUACUCUCAUGGGAUAGCUGGUUCGGCACCAUGGAGAGAGAUUGGUGGGCAUUGUGGUUGCCCCCAGAAGAAAAGAAGAGUAGAAGAGGUUAUGGGUGGGUCAUGUGAACUGACCUUCAACCCAGUUACUUCGUGGGGACUAUUUGCUGUAUAGAGAAGAUCAAGACUCAAGAGUUAGGGAAAAUCAUUGGAGGUCAUGUUUCCCUUCCUUAAGUUUUUCCUAUCAAAUUAUUUGCCUGAUUAGAUUAUGCUAAGGGUGGGAUACUUUAUGUUAGCAGUUGAAUUAAUUAAUUUUAUUUUUUUGUGUGUUUGCAUCCUUGCCCAUCGAUUGCAGUUUAGUAGUUAGUUUUGUAUUUGUCAGGCGUGAUGGUAAUGCCUGUUGAUGAUGUUUCAGAAUUGUAAUCUGUUCGUGAUGAGGAUGGCACAACUCCGAAGCAGAUGUGGGGAGAAGUUGUGAGCUGCCCUGGAAGCCAGUCCAGUAGCUGUUGGAGUUGAGUGGUGUUUGCUGAUGGCCAGCCCAGGGAGCUACUCUUCUCGACAACACUGACUUCGAGGAGUUGCACCAACCUUACGAGAUAAGAGUUUAAUUAAUUGAAACACUGUAAGGACACUUAAUUUUUUUUGAAAAACGAAAGAAGUAUGGUAAUAAACGGAAACCGAAAAAAAAAAAAAAUAAUAAUAAUUAUCCAGAAUUUGCACAUUGUUUAACGAAUACUGAGAAACUAAGAACAGUAAUUUAAUUUGUAAAGAGAGCUUCACUAACAGAACAAUUUUUUUAGAAUUGAGAACUCGAGCCUCUGAAGGUUCCUGUGAGAACAAACCAGAUAAAAGUUUUACAUUUAAUUUUAUGAAUACUUGUUGUUUUAAAAUAAAUCUUAUGCAGAAUCUAGAUGUAUGUUCAGACAGCAAGGAACUAAGAAAAUUAUUAUUUUUGUGAAAUGAGGAAUUUAUAGUUAUGGUUUAAUGGAAAAAGACAAUUUGUAAUUUUGAGGUAGCUCGAUGGGGCUCGAGCUCUGUAAGGGGAGGGUUAUGUCGCGGGUUGAAAUUUUGCAGGGUUGUUGAAAUCAAAUUUAGGGACUUUACUGACGGGACUCUGGGCUGGCUGCUCUGUUCACUCGUCAGCGCAAGUGGCGUGACCAUGUAAUUGGGGCACGGGGCCGGCGCGGCGCGCUGCGGGCUUGCAGAAUUUUGUUUGUUUGUUUGGCCGCGCGCUGGCGCAGCCACGGGCCGCAGUUACUGGGGCGCGCUGUCGUAACAAGCCGCGCGGUGUGGCCUGCACAUUGGGGUAGAGGGGGGGUAGCCUUCCCAGAUGUUCUAGUUAGUUGUUUAGUAAAUUUGACUUCAAUAACGAGCUUUUGUUAUGCUAGGCGCGGCAGGGCGCGCGAAUUUAAGCGCAAGUGAUUGGUGACUCGGGGCUCACUCAGGCGGAGGCUAUGCGUCUCACCUGUGGUCACGAGUUGUUAGUUCGUUCGUGAUGUAGGAAUUCAGGCUCACUCAGGCGGAGGCUAUGCGUCUCACCUGUGGUCACGAGUUGUUAGUUCGUUCGUGAUGUAGGAAUUCAAGCUUUCGGGCGGAAGCUAUGGUCGACGCCAGAGGCCACGAGUCGUUUAAUUUAAGUUAGGUCAUAAUGUAGUCGUCAAGCUUUCGGGCGGAGGCUAUGGCCCUCGUCAGGGGUCACGCGUCAUAGUUUUUAAAAUGUAAUGUUCGUUCGGGAUUUCAAGGGCAGGAGAGGCCCCUACGUUAUUUUUUUAAAGUAAUCGAUCAAGAAAGGCUUUUCGGAAAAUGUGAGUAUGGACUUAUCUUUGUUUUAAUUUUAAGUAUUAAUUAUGAUUUGAGGUAUUCGGAAGGACUAGGGAAGUGUUUAGUGAAGUUCUCUCAUUCUCUCUCUUGUAAGGUCGUUCAAUCGUUAAGGAAGUAAAGAGAUUAUUGUUUUAAAUUGUAAUCCCGCUAUUUAAAUGUUCUUUAAAAUGAUGUUGAGUAUUUGACUUUAAGAAUAAAAUAAUUUUAAUUAAGUAUUAUGUUAUUUUGCAAAAUCUCCUUAGUUCAGCUCUCACCAGACAUCCUGUACGGGAUGACGAACCUAUGAUCCUAGGUACAGUAAAGUAUUUUAUGAAGUUAAGACUAGUUGAUGCCAAGCGAGUUGUUUCA